GGUGCUUGCACCUGAUUGAUUUUGGUCGCCAACGAGUGGCGGACAGGGUGAGUAACACGUAGGUAACCUGCCCAGAAGCGGGGGACAACAUUUGGAAACAGAUGCUAAUACCGCAUAACAGCGUUGUUCGCAUGAACAACGCUUAAAAGAUGGCUUCUCGCUAUCACUUCUGGAUGGACCUGCGGUGCAUUAGCUUGUUGGUGGGGUAACGGCCUACCAAGGCGAUAAUGCAUAGCCGAGUUGAGAGACUGAUCAGCCACAAUGGGACUGAGACACGGCCCAUACUCCUACGGGAGGCAGCAGUAGGGAAUCUUCCACAAUGGGCGCAAGCCAGAUGGAGCAACACCGCGUGAGUGAAGAAGGGUUUCGGCUCGUAAAGCUCUGUUGGGGGGGGAAGAACACGCUAUGAGAGUAACUGUUCAUACGUUGACGGUAUUUAACCAGAAAGUCACGGCUAACUACGUGCCAGCAGCCGCGGUAAUACGUAGGUGGCAAGCGUUAUCCGGAUUUAUUGGGCGUAAAGAGAGUGCAGGCGGUUUUCUAAGUCUGAUGUGAAAGCCUUCGGCUUAACCGGAGAAGUGCAUCGGAAACUGGAUAACUUGAGUGCAGAAGAGGGUAGUGGAACUCCAUGUGUAGCGGUGGAAUGCG
RNAcentral lists this ribosomal RNA (648 nucleotides) under Limosilactobacillus fermentum. RNAcentral describes it as "bacterial SSU rRNA". It matches the Rfam family "Bacterial small subunit ribosomal RNA", at positions 50 to 690 of the family's 1533-position model. The record is from RNAcentral. Lineage: Bacteria; Bacillati; Bacillota; Bacilli; Lactobacillales; Lactobacillaceae.